UACGGGAGGCAGCAGCGAGGAAUAUUGGACAAUGGAGGUAACUCUGAUCCAGCCAUGCCGCGUGCAGGAAGACGGCCCUAUGGGUUGUAAACUGCUUUUAUAUAGGGAGAAACCUUUUCACGUGUGAGAAGCUGGCGGUACUAUAAGAAUAAGGACCGGCUAACUCCGUGCCAGCAGCCGCGGUAAU
This 187-nucleotide ribosomal RNA is filed under the name uncultured bacterium. Its description in RNAcentral is "partial 16S ribosomal RNA". It matches the Rfam family "Bacterial small subunit ribosomal RNA", at positions 340 to 524 of the family's 1533-position model. The record is from RNAcentral.